GUUGGUGGAGUGAUUUGUCUGGUUAAUUCCGUUAACGAACGAGACCCCCGCCUGCUAAAUAGUCAUAUGAAUGCUUAGCAUUGAUGUUGGCUUCUUAGAGGGACUUUCGGUGACUAACCGAAGGAAGUUGGGGGCAAUAACAGGU
RNAcentral lists this ribosomal RNA (145 nucleotides) under Ochrophyta sp. RNAcentral describes it as "partial small subunit ribosomal RNA". It matches the Rfam family "Eukaryotic small subunit ribosomal RNA", at positions 1297 to 1461 of the family's 1831-position model. The record is from RNAcentral.